AGAUACAUACUAAAUGAUAUACUCGAGGACAUACUACUAACACAAUGUUGAGAAGUUUCUGCUUCUGCGUGCGUCAUUUCUCUCUCCUCCUCACUUAGCGCCAUUGUAGCUACACUUUUGUUGUUGUCCAUGGCUUCUAGUGCAUCGCUAGUUUAUUAUUAUUAUUAAGGAAAACAAUGUCUAGUUAAAACAAUAACAACAAUAACACAAACU
RNAcentral lists this unclassified non-coding RNA (213 nucleotides) under Hevea brasiliensis (rubber tree). Lineage: Eukaryota; Viridiplantae; Streptophyta; Magnoliopsida; Malpighiales; Euphorbiaceae. The record is from RNAcentral.